CCUGCCCAAUGAUUUUUUUUUAAUGGCCGCAGUACUUUGACUGUGCUAAGGUAGCAUAAUAAAUUGGCUUUUAAUUUAAGUCUGGAAUGAAUGGAUUUAUGAAUAUUUACUGUCUUUAUAAAAUUUAUGUUAAGUUUCUGAAGAAGGUGAAAAUUCCUUUAAUAAAAUUUAAAAGACGAGAAGACCCUAGGAGUUUAAAUGGUAAAUUUUGUUGGGGCAACAUUAUAGUAAUAUAAUCUAUAAAAUAAUAUUUAAUCUAAUCGAAAAUUUUUAAUUAAGAGUAAGCUACCCUAGGGAUAACAGCAUAAUUUGUUUAACUAAUAAGUUUGUGACCUCGAUGUUGGAUUAGGGAC
This 353-nucleotide ribosomal RNA is filed under the name Everettia sp. LEWS_S. RNAcentral's name for it is "partial 16S ribosomal RNA". The record is from RNAcentral. Lineage: Eukaryota; Metazoa; Mollusca; Gastropoda; Stylommatophora; Ariophantidae.